This 211-nucleotide ribosomal RNA is filed under the name uncultured Leptotrichia sp. RNAcentral's name for it is "partial 16S ribosomal RNA". It matches the Rfam family "Bacterial small subunit ribosomal RNA", at positions 144 to 355 of the family's 1533-position model. Lineage: Bacteria; Fusobacteriati; Fusobacteriota; Fusobacteriia; Fusobacteriales; Leptotrichiaceae. The record is from RNAcentral.
UAACAGAGGGAAACUUCUGAUAAUACUGGAUAAGUUAGUAUAUCGCAUGAUAUGCAAAUGAAAGCUACGGCACUAAAGGAGAGCUUUGCGUCCUAUUAGCUAGUUGGUAAGGUAAGAGCUUACCAAGGCGAUGAUAGGUAGCCGGCCUGAGAGGGUGGACGGCCACAAGGGGACUGAGAUACGGCCCUUACUCCUACGGGAGGCAGCAGCU